AUGCUACCACCAAAUAUGCUCAAUGCUGCAACCGGUGCUAUGCGGAGUCUGCACGAUAGUGUUCUUUCUUUGGAGAAGCGGCGUCUCAGAGAGAAGGAUGUGGCAUACCCGGUUUUCGUGGCCAAGGUGCCAGAGGGCAAGGGCUUUGUGGAUGGCGACAUCGGGGGUACGAUCGUCCUGCGGUUUGAUGACAUCUUUGCUAUGUUUAACCUUCAUCCGCUGCACUACACCUUAGUUCGGCUAUUUUCGCUGAGUAUGGAGAUGCGGAUCAUUCGCAACAAGACCCCGGACAUCGUGAUAGUCGACCCCUUCUACAUGCGUGCCAAGAUCUUGGGCAGCGCUGGGGACCGGCAAGUCGCGAGUUCUUACCUCGAAGGCAUCAUUCUGGCAAACCAAGAUAAGGAUAACUUCCUUGUGCCUUACUUUCCCGAGUAA
RNAcentral lists this ribosomal RNA (435 nucleotides) under Triticum aestivum (bread wheat). RNAcentral describes it as "partial small subunit ribosomal RNA". The record is from RNAcentral. Lineage: Eukaryota; Viridiplantae; Streptophyta; Magnoliopsida; Poales; Poaceae.